UGCCUCCUGCCCGCAGUCCAACCACCUGCCAGGCGAUCUUAAAGAGGCCGCGGCCGCAUUGAGACGCUGCGCGGCAUGGGGAGGGGGUGGCUCAAUGUCCCGGGCGCGGGGUUGAGGAUCCCAGUGUUAGAGCGCUGGAGGCGGGGCCCCAGCCUGUAGCACUCGCUGCACCUGCGGAAUGUCCCUACUACUAGUUUCAGGCGCAGUUUCUCUAUUCACCAUUAGGGGGAAGGGAGCCCAGACCACUUGACAGCGAAUAAUAACAAAAGCUCACUUUGAUUCAGUGCGUUGCACAUGCCAGGGCUUUUACUCACCUCUCGCGUCGUCGUUGCCGAAACCCUAUAAGAUGUGCGUCAAUGUGAGUGUGCCCCAUGCAGAAGUUCCAAGUUCUUCCCCUCACUUGAGCUCGAUCCCAUACAGGUGUUCCUCCUAUAAGGUGCUUUCCCUUACCUCACAGAGUCUUGCUCUGUCACCCAGGCUAGAGUGCAGU
This is a long non-coding RNA of Cercocebus atys (sooty mangabey), 490 nucleotides long. RefSeq lists it as uncharacterized. Lineage: Eukaryota; Metazoa; Chordata; Mammalia; Primates; Cercopithecidae. The transcript is spliced from 3 exons. The record is from RefSeq and is a predicted model, not a curated record.